RNAcentral lists this ribosomal RNA (465 nucleotides) under Vreelandella stevensii. RNAcentral's name for it is "partial 16S ribosomal RNA". It matches the Rfam family "Bacterial small subunit ribosomal RNA", at positions 338 to 795 of the family's 1533-position model. The record is from RNAcentral. Lineage: Bacteria; Pseudomonadati; Pseudomonadota; Gammaproteobacteria; Oceanospirillales; Halomonadaceae.
CCUACGGGUGGCUGCAGUGGGGAAUAUUGGACAAUGGGCGAAAGCCUGAUCCAGCCAUGCCGCGUGUGUGAAGAAGGCCUUCGGGUUGUAAAGCACUUUCAGUGGGGAAGAAAGCCUUGGGGCUAAUACCCUCGAGGAAGGACAUCACCCACAGAAGAAGCACCGGCUAACUCCGUGCCAGCAGCCGCGGUAAUACGGAGGGUGCGAGCGUUAAUCGGAAUUACUGGGCGUAAAGCGCGCGUAGGCGGUCUGAUAAGCCGGUUGUGAAAGCCCCGGGCUCAACCUGGGAACGGCAUCCGGAACUGUCAGGCUAGAGUGCAGGAGAGGAAGGUGGAAUUCCCGGUGUAGCGGUGAAAUGCGUAGAGAUCGGGAGGAAUACCAGUGGCGAAGGCGGCCUUCUGGACUGACACUGACGCUGAGGUGCGAAAGCGUGGGUAGCAAACAGGAUUAGAUACCCCUGUAGUC